Molecule: long non-coding RNA, 224 nt
Organism: Tarenaya hassleriana
Lineage: Eukaryota; Viridiplantae; Streptophyta; Magnoliopsida; Brassicales; Cleomaceae
Exons: 3
Source: RefSeq, a predicted model, not a curated record
GCCGAGUACUUUGCUCCCAAUGCCAAAAAGAGAUGGUUUGUUUCUAUGUAUGGUAGUGGCCGGCAAACAACUGGAGUUUUUUCUCAGGACGGGUGGCACUGUGAGAUAUGUAAUCGGAAACCUGGACGUGGUUUCGAGGCCACUGUGGAAGUCCUUCCCCGGCUUUUUAAGAUAAAGUAUGAGAGUGGCACAUUGGAGGAACUUUUAUAUGUUGAUAUGCCGAG